RNAcentral lists this ribosomal RNA (441 nucleotides) under uncultured bacterium. Its description in RNAcentral is "partial 16S ribosomal RNA". It matches the Rfam family "Bacterial small subunit ribosomal RNA", at positions 338 to 795 of the family's 1533-position model. The record is from RNAcentral.
CCUACGGGAGGCAGCAGUGGGGUAUAUUGCACAAUGGGGGGAACCCUGAUGCAGCGACGCCGCGUGGGUGAAGGAGUGCUUCGGCAUGUAAAGCACUAUCGGCAGGGAGGAAGCAGGACGGUACCUUACUCAGAAGACCCGGCUAACUACGUGCCAGCAGCCGCGGUAAUACGGAGGGGGCGAGCGUUAUCCGGAGUCACUGGGUGAAAAGGGAGCGUAGACGGCCAGGUAAGCCAGGUGUGAAAGCCCGGGGCGCAACCCGGGGACUGCCCUUGGGACUGGGCGGGUAGAGUGUGGGAGGGGUAGGCGGAAUUCCUGGUGUAGCGGUGAAAUGCGUAGAUAUCAGGAGGAACACCGGCGGCGAAGGCGGCCUGCUGGACCGAGACUGACGUUGAGGUGCGAAAGCGUGGGGAGCGAACAGGAUUAGAUACCCUAGUAGUC